RNAcentral lists this ribosomal RNA (525 nucleotides) under Triticum aestivum (bread wheat). Its description in RNAcentral is "partial small subunit ribosomal RNA". The record is from RNAcentral. Lineage: Eukaryota; Viridiplantae; Streptophyta; Magnoliopsida; Poales; Poaceae.
AUGGUUUGUAUGGGGGACCUUAAUGAUAUCCUUUAUGAUGUGGAUGCGUGUGAUGGUAAUAUCAACUUCUAUCGUAUGAAUGCUUUCAGGUCUCUUGUUAAAAAUUGUGGGCUGUUUGAUAUUGGUUAUAGUGGUCCUGCUUAUACUUGGCGUGGUAGGCAACAUACUUCUAAGCCCAUUCAUAGACGUCUUGAUCGAUGCUUGGUCAAUUCUGAUUGGUGCGCUUUUUAUCCUAAUACUAAAGUGCUGAAUCUUCCUAUUAUUCUUGGUGACCAUGCUCCCAUUUUAAUUUCCUCGGAAGGUAAACUUGUUAGGCCUAGACAAUCUUUUAAAUUUGAAAACUGGUGGCUUAUGGAAAAAGAUUUUCACUCUUUUGCUAAAAAUAAUUGGAUUUCUAGUUCCCUGACCUCUUUUGCUGCAAAGUCAUCUUCUUUGGCAGGAUCUUUAAAAGUCUGGUGCAAGAAGAAAAAACCUCUCCAACAAGAACUUGCUGAGCUAGAAUCCAGAAUCAAGGAUUUGCAAUAG